RNAcentral lists this ribosomal RNA (406 nucleotides) under uncultured bacterium. RNAcentral describes it as "bacterial SSU rRNA". It matches the Rfam family "Bacterial small subunit ribosomal RNA", at positions 29 to 416 of the family's 1533-position model. The record is from RNAcentral.
AACGAACGCUGGCGGCGUGCUUAACACAUGCAAGUCGAGCGGGAAAGUUCCCUUCGGGGGGCGAGUACAGCGGCGAACGGGUGAGUAACACGUAGGUAACCUACCCUGGAGACUGGGAUAACUUGCCGAAAGGCGGGCUAAUACCAGAUAAGACCACGAGGGCUGCGGCUCUUGGGGCAAAAGGUGGCCUCUACUUGUAAGCUACUACUCCGGGAUGGGCCUGCGCGCCAUUAGCUAGUUGGCGGGGUAACGGCCCACCAAGGCAGAGAUGGCUAGCUGGUCUGAGAGGAUGGCCAGCCACACUGGGACUGAGACACGGCCCAGACUCCGUACGGGAGGCAGCAGUGGGAAUAUUGCGCAAUGGGCGAAAGCCUGACGCAGCGACGCCGCGUGGGUGAUGAAGGCC